RNAcentral lists this transfer RNA (71 nucleotides) under Camelus bactrianus (Bactrian camel). It matches the Rfam family "tRNA". Rfam says of the family: Transfer RNA (tRNA) molecules are approximately 80 nucleotides in length. Their secondary structure includes four short double-helical elements and three loops (D, anti-codon, and T loops). Further hydrogen bonds mediate the characteristic L-shaped molecular structure. tRNAs have two regions of fundamental functional importance: the anti-codon, which is responsible for specific mRNA codon recognition, and the 3' end, to which the tRNAs corresponding amino acid is attached (by aminoacyl-tRNA synthetases). tRNAs cope with the degeneracy of the genetic code in two manners: having more than one tRNA (with a specific anti-codon) for a particular amino acid; and 'wobble' base-pairing, i.e. permitting non-standard base-pairing at the 3rd anti-codon position. RNAcentral also lists the same sequence under 1 other name. The record is from Rfam by way of RNAcentral. Lineage: Eukaryota; Metazoa; Chordata; Mammalia; Artiodactyla; Camelidae.
GAGGGCAGAGCUCAGGGGUAGAGCGUGUGCUUUGCGUGCACGGGUCCUGGGUUCAAUCCCCAGUACCUGUU